Molecule: long non-coding RNA, 366 nt
Filed under: Gossypium barbadense (sea-island cotton)
Lineage: Eukaryota; Viridiplantae; Streptophyta; Magnoliopsida; Malvales; Malvaceae
Description: long non-coding RNA (GBAR_LNC006820)
Source: RNAcentral
CGUAACCCGUGCUUGAUGCAAUAACCGCAACGAGAGUAAGCGCUGUUGGAUAGAAGACCACGUAGCCUUGCUAUGCUAAAGGAAUGGAUUUAACUCUUUAGGGAGUGCAGAAUCUACUAGGGUUAACCUCUCUUUAGCCUAUCUGUCCUCAUGCUAGCCAAUCUCUGGCAAUUGGUCUAUGUCUGAGUAUCUGGUCUGAAUAUCUGGUCCCCAAGGGGGUCACGCAAGGGAUGAGAUAACUCGAUCUGUUGGGGGAGGAGUUUACUUUUUAUUAGGAUAGGACGAUUUUUAUCCCCCUUCUACGCAUACAUAAAUGUUUACAUUACAGCCGUCGAGUGCUUCCUGGUGUGAAGUCCCGUGGGUGGU